CAGCCGCCGCGGUAAUACGUAGGGUGCAAGCGUUAAUCGGAAUUACUGGGCGUAAAGCGUGCGCAGGCGGUUCGCUAAGACAGAUGUGAAAUCCCCGGGCUUAACCUGGGAACUGCAUUUGUGACUGGCGGGCUAGAGUAUGGCAGAGGGGGGUAGAAUUCCACGUGUAGCAGUGAAAUGCGUAGAGAUGUGGAGGAAUACCGAUGGCGAAGGCAGCCCCCUGGGCCAAUACUGACGCUCAUGCACGAAAGCGUGGGGAGCAAACAGGAUUAGAUACCCGUGUAGUCCCUGUCUCUUAUAU
RNAcentral lists this ribosomal RNA (301 nucleotides) under uncultured bacterium. RNAcentral's name for it is "partial 16S ribosomal RNA". It matches the Rfam family "Bacterial small subunit ribosomal RNA", at positions 509 to 809 of the family's 1533-position model. The record is from RNAcentral.